This 394-nucleotide long non-coding RNA is filed under the name Aquilegia coerulea. RNAcentral describes it as "long non-coding RNA (ACOE_LNC001058)". The record is from RNAcentral. Lineage: Eukaryota; Viridiplantae; Streptophyta; Magnoliopsida; Ranunculales; Ranunculaceae.
UCUGAAACAGAUAACUUCGAAACAGGUAAUUUUUAUUAAUGUCCACAAAAAUGUUACAAACCCUAAUCAGCGUACAACUAGUGCACCGUCAGGUCAUUCCAAGAGGACAUUCCCUUUGUAUACAAGCAAAAACAUGGAAAUAAUGCCACCCAUAAACAAUGCACAAUGUGUACAUCCCCAUACACACCAGUGAGCAAAAAAUAGAAACACAUAAAUAACAAACUACGGCAGAAACCUGUCAGACUGAGCUUUUUCUCCCCCUUAUGCUGCAAGUACUACAGUAGCUCAAGUGUGAACUCUAUCAAGCUUCUGAAGCUGCUGGUAUUCACCAUAACUCUGCAUACAAGAAGACCCACUUCAGUACGACCUGCUUGCAGCUGUCCAUCUCGUCUAC